CAGAGGGUAGUUUAUAAAAAUAUUAGUUUUGGGGACUAAAGAUAGGGCAAGAGCUUUACUUCUGA
Molecule: transfer RNA, 65 nt
Filed under: Epeorus dayongensis
Lineage: Eukaryota; Metazoa; Arthropoda; Insecta; Ephemeroptera; Heptageniidae
Description: tRNA-Pro
Source: RNAcentral